RNAcentral lists this ribosomal RNA (459 nucleotides) under uncultured bacterium. Its description in RNAcentral is "partial 16S ribosomal RNA". It matches the Rfam family "Bacterial small subunit ribosomal RNA", at positions 338 to 795 of the family's 1533-position model. The record is from RNAcentral.
CCUACGGGGAGCAGCAGUGAGGAAUAUUGGUCAAUGGGCGCGAGCCUGAACCAGCCAAGUCGCGUGAGGGAAGACGGUCCUAUGGAUUGUAAACCUCUUUUGUCGGGGAGCAAAAGACGCCACGCGUGGCGUUCCGAGAGUACCCGAAGAAAAAGCAUCGGCCAACUCCGUGCCAGCAGCCGCGGUAAUACGGAGGAUGCGAGCGUUAUCCGGAUGUAUUGGGUUGAAGGGGUGCGCAGGCGGAAGAUCAAGUCAGCGGUAAAAUUGAGAGGCUCAACCUCUUCGAGCCGUUGAAACUGGUUUUCUUGAGUGAGCGAGAAGUAUGCGGAAUGCGUGGUGUAGCGGUGAAAUGCAUAGAUAUCACGCAGAACUACGAUUGCGAAGGCAGCAUACCGGCGCUCAACUGACGCUCAUGCACGAAAGUGUGGGUAUCGAACAGGAUUAGAUACCCUGGUAGUC